AUUGAACGCUGGCGGCAGGCCUAACACAUGCAAGUCGAGCGGAUGAGUGGAGCUUGCUCCAUGAUUCAGCGGCGGACGGGUGAGUAAUGCCUAGGAAUCUGCCUGGUAGUGGGGGACAACGUUUCGAAAGGAACGCUAAUACCGCAUACGUCCUACGGGAGAAAGUGGGGAUCUUCGGACCUCACGCUAUCAGAUGAGCCUAGGUCGGAUUAGCUAGUAGGUGGGGUAAUGGCCCACCUAGGCGACGAUCCGUAACUGGUCUGAGAGGAUGAUCAGUCACACUGGAACUGAGACACGGUCCAGACUCCUACGGGAGGCAGCAGUGGGGAAUAUUGGACAAUGGGCGAAAGCCUGAUCCAGCCAUGCCGCGUGUGUGAAAGAAGGUCUUCGGAUUGUAAAGCACUUUAAGUUGGGAGGAAGGGCAGUAAGUUAAUACCUUGCUGUUUUGACGUUACCAACAGAAUAAGCACCGGCUAACUUCGUGCCAGCAGCCGCGGUAAUACGAAGGGUGCAAGCGUUAAUCGGAAUUACUGGGCGUAAAGCGCGCGUAGGUGGUUCAGCAAGUUGGAGGUGAAAUCCCGGGCUCAACUGGGAACUGCCUCCAAAACUACUGAGCUAGAGUACGGUAGAGGGUAGUGGAAUUUCCUGUGUAGCGGUGAAAUGCGUAGAUAUAGGAAGGAACACCAGUGGCGAAGGCGACUACUGACUGAUACUGACACUGA
This 722-nucleotide ribosomal RNA is filed under the name uncultured bacterium. RNAcentral's name for it is "bacterial SSU rRNA". It matches the Rfam family "Bacterial small subunit ribosomal RNA", at positions 28 to 749 of the family's 1533-position model. The record is from RNAcentral.